RNAcentral lists this ribosomal RNA (497 nucleotides) under uncultured bacterium. Its description in RNAcentral is "partial 16S ribosomal RNA". It matches the Rfam family "Bacterial small subunit ribosomal RNA", at positions 28 to 507 of the family's 1533-position model. The record is from RNAcentral.
GAUGAACGCUGGCGGCGUGCCUAAUACAUGCAAGUCGAGCGAACAGACGAGGAGCUUACUCCUCUGACGUUAGCGGCGGACGGGUGAGUAACACGUGGGUAACCUACCUAUAAGACUGGGAUAACUUCGGGAAACCGGAGCUAAUACCGGAUAACAUUUUGAACCGCAUGGUUCUACAGUGAAAGACGGUCUUGCUAUCACUUAUAGAUGGAUCCGCGUCGUAUUAGCUAGUUGGUAAGGUAACGGCUUACCAAGGCAACGAUACGUAGCCGACCUGAGAGGGUGAUCGGCCACACUGGAACUGAGACACGGUCCAGACUCCUACGGGAGGCAGCAGUAGGGAAUCUUCCGCAAUGGGCGAAAGCCUGACGGAGCAACGCCGCGUGAGUGAAGAAGGGCUUCGGAUCGUAAAACUCUGUUAUUAGGGAAGAGCAAAUGUGUAAGUAACUAUGCACGUCUUGACGGUACCUAAUCAGAAAGCCACGGCUAACUACGUG